RNAcentral lists this ribosomal RNA (404 nucleotides) under uncultured Devosia sp. RNAcentral's name for it is "bacterial SSU rRNA". It matches the Rfam family "Bacterial small subunit ribosomal RNA", at positions 356 to 777 of the family's 1533-position model. Lineage: Bacteria; Pseudomonadati; Pseudomonadota; Alphaproteobacteria; Hyphomicrobiales; Devosiaceae. The record is from RNAcentral.
GGGGAAUAUUGGACAAUGGGCGCAAGCCUGAUCCAGCCAUGCCGCGUGAGUGAUGAAGGCCUUAGGGUUGUAAAGCUCUUUCAGUAGGGAAGAUAAUGACGGUACCUACAGAAGAAGCCCCGGCUAACUUCGUGCCAGCAGCCGCGGUAAUACGAAGGGGGCUAGCGUUGUUCGGAUUUACUGGGCGUAAAGCGCACGUAGGCGGUUUGUUAAGUCAGGGGUGAAAUCCCGGGGCUCAACUCCGGAACUGCCUUUGAUACUGGCAAGCUAGAGUCCGGAAGAGGUAAGUGGAACUCCUAGUGUAGAGGUGGAAUUCGUAGAUAUUAGGAAGAACACCAGUGGCGAAGGCGGCUUACUGGUCCGGAACUGACGCUGAGGUGCGAAAGCGUGGGGAGCAAACAGGA